CCUACGGGAGGCAGCAGUGGGGAAUAUUGCACAAUGGGGGAAACCCUGAUGCAGCGACGCCGCGUGAAUGAAGCAGUAUUUCGUUAUGUAAAGCUCUAUCAGCAGGGAAGAAAAUGACGGUACCUGACUAAGAAGCACCGGCUAACUACGUGCCAGCAGCCGCGGUAAUACGUAGGGGGCAAGCGUUAUCCGGAUUUACUGGGUGUAAAGGGAGCGUAGACGGCAGUGCAAGUCUGGAGUGAAAGGCGGGGGCUCAACCCCCGGACUGCUCUGGAAACUGUACGGCUGGAGUGCGGGAGAGGUAAGUGGAAUUCCUGGUGUAGCGGUGAAAUGCGUAGAUAUUAGGAGGAACACCAGUGGCGAAGGCGGCUUGCUGGACAGUAACUGACGUUGAGGCUCGAAAGCGUGGGGAGCAAACAGGAUUAGAUACCCCUGUAGUC
Molecule: ribosomal RNA, 440 nt
Filed under: uncultured bacterium
Lineage: Bacteria
Description: partial 16S ribosomal RNA
Rfam family: Bacterial small subunit ribosomal RNA
Source: RNAcentral